Molecule: long non-coding RNA, 2248 nt
Organism: Oreochromis aureus
Lineage: Eukaryota; Metazoa; Chordata; Actinopteri; Cichliformes; Cichlidae
Source: Ensembl
UAGACUUUAAAACAGUCCGUGUGAACGUGUGUGCUCUUGUUGAUUACCUUUGGUGCACUUUCUGCAAAUUGUUAAAAAAAGACCAAUUAUGCAGGUUAUUAAUCAUAAGUUUCGAAGCAAAACAGGAAAAAUGUCUGUGAUGACAGAAAAGGCAGGAUAGAGACAGAGAAGAAUAUUUUAGCUUUGUUGAUAUGAUGCAAAAUGAGAACCGUUUUUCAAGUGCGCAACAGGAAGUAAAUAGCAGCGCAGCUUUCAGGAAAUAUACCCAUUGUUAUAGUUACAGUAAUUAGCUCGUAGUUUCUGUUGUUGUGAAUUAAAGACGAGGGCUGGGGUUGUAAAUAAGUAUACCAAACAUAAUUUUUGUGACGCUUCUUAAAGGAACUUUUAAAGAACACCGAUCACAUGACCUGUUUAAUUUCGCCUCAUUUAUUUUCUGGUCAGUGAGUGUAAUGCACCUGGUAAAGUCAACAGAAAACUUCACAUGUUCUUCCACGUUCGUAGAAAGGAGCUCAUGGUUCGUAGAGACAGCUGCCAGAGACGGAGGAACGCAAGAACAGGGAGAAAAUGAUCUGCAGGAUCCUGCUGCUCAUCAUCCUCACCUCAUGUGUCUCUGGAUCAUUUGUAGUCAAUGUGACACAGACCUCCUAUCAGGCAGAGGAGAACCACAACAUCACACUGGAGUGGACGUUCACCACCAAACCUGACAGAUCCACAAAAACUCUCAACAUCCUCUGUGAACUGAUAACUGAUAAAGUCUCAGUCCUGUAUCAGGUUCAUGAAGGUGUUGAGGUGUCAGAGUCUCAGGAUGCAAAGUUUUCAGGACGAGUCCAGAGUGACAAAGACGCCCUCAGAGAAGGACGAAUCAGACUUCAACUGUCCAGACUCAGGACUGAUGACUCGGGUCUAUACCAGUGUGAGGUCAACACUGAUUAUGGUUACAGCUCUGACGACUGUCAACUCAAUGUCACUGCAGCUGCAGAUGAACUCAAAUCUAAGAGACCAACUUUAAAAUCACAAAAAAACAAUAUCUUAAUUGGAGUGACAGCAGUUGGAGUGGCAGUAGUUUUAAUCAUUGCGUGUACAUCUCUGUAUGUCAUGUUGAAAAAAAUAAUAAUUCACCGUAACCUCUAUGCUGAUGUAGAGAUGUUGAGUGUCUCAGAAAAACAAACUGGGACUGACAGGAUUCUCUGUGCAGGACCAACUUUGGAUCAGAGCGAAUCAUCAGUCACACAAAGAAAAGACUCUGAGCUGCUUUAGGUACAGGAAGUGAUGUGUGGUGUGUAACAUGACUUAUGUUAAAUCGGGCUCGUAUUAUCCUGGGAUUGAAUUCACAGCUGUAAUGAGUAAAGGGGGGACAGUUUUUGCCACCAAAAUCCACCUGUGCUGCACACUGGUAUUACUGGUGUGUGCCCGUGUCUGCGUGUGUGUCCACAUAUGCCUGUGCAGAUGGAGGCGAUACAGUUAAGCUGAAAAAGUAUUCGAUCAACAAAUGACUUAAACAAUGACGUCUAACCCAAGAGCAAGCAAAAGUCACGACAAGAAAUCACAAGGCCUGGAAGUGCAUCGUUGACCAAGAUGGAAACCCUGUGGUACCCACGGCGACGUCUUGGCCUCGUGGACGACCUCGGUCUGCCAGCUAAGGACAAAAGAAGACGAAAGAAAGAAUCAUUAAUGUGUCUGAAGGGAGAGUUUAUUUCUUACCCUUCUGAUUACUGAUGGAUGUUGUAGUACAGAGCGCUGCCUUUUCUAAUCUUUCUGUUAAAAAAAAUGUACAUAUUGUAAAUACAUAUUCAUUUUUAUGGGUUUGAAUUUUUCUGAAUUUUCUGUUUAUAAGUCUAUUUUUAAACUGUGUAUGUUCCCAGGUUCCAAAUACUGUGUCACAAAUAACUAUAAUGAAGGGAACUGACUGAGAAACCAUCAUAAAGUUUUCUUUGAGACUGUAUGAGUAAAAGACACUAACACUAAAACACAGAUUUCAGAAAGUAUUAAAACAGAGAAAUGUAAUGUGUGGUGUUGAGUGUCAUACUUUUCCAUGUUGGCCAAAUGGAAAAGUUUUAAAAUACAUGGAAAUGUAUUUUAAAACAAGACAACAAAAUAGUUUUUCAUGUUACUAUGAAUAACUUUGCAUGUAUGUAUAUUUAUGUAUGAGAGAAGAAAAAAAUGGGUAAAAACAUAUUUUGGGAUAAAACCAUAAUAUUUAAAAAAGUAGAAAUUUAAAAAAUGAACUGAAAAAAAAGUAAAUAAGGAA